RNAcentral lists this ribosomal RNA (650 nucleotides) under uncultured bacterium. RNAcentral describes it as "bacterial SSU rRNA". It matches the Rfam family "Bacterial small subunit ribosomal RNA", at positions 137 to 770 of the family's 1533-position model. The record is from RNAcentral.
ACUGGGAUAACUCCGGGAAACCGGAGCUAAUACCGGGUAAUACAUCGCACCGCAUGGUGCAAUGUUGAAAGUUGGCUUUCGAGCUAACACUGCAGGAUGGGCCCGCGGCGCAUUAGCUAGUUGGUAAGGUAAUGGCUUACCAAGGCGACGAUGCGUAGCCGACCUGAGAGGGUGAUCGGCCACACUGGGACUGAGACACGGCCCAGACUCAUACGGGAGGCAGCAGUAGGGAAUCUUCCGCAAUGGACGAAAGUCUGACGGAGCAACGCCGCGUGAGUGACGAAGGCCUUCGGGUCGUAAAGCUCUGUUGUUAGGGAAGAACAAGUACCGUUCGAAUAGGGCGGUACCUUGACGGUACCUAACCAGAAAGCCACGGCUAACUACGUGCCAGCAGCCGCGGUAAUACGUAGGUGGCAAGCGUUGUCCGGAAUUAUUGGGCGUAAAGCGCGCGCAGGCGGUCUUUUAAGUCUGAUGUGAAAGCCCACGGCUCAACCGUGGAGGGUCAUUGGAAACUGGAGGACUUGAGUGCAGAAGAGGAGAGUGGAAUUCCACGUGUAGCGGUGAAAUGCGUAGAUAUGUGGAGGAACACCAGUGGCGAAGGCGGCUCUCUGGUCUGUAACUGACGCUGAGGCGCGAAAGCGUGGGGAGCA